This 76-nucleotide transfer RNA is filed under the name Candidatus Saccharimonadota bacterium. RNAcentral describes it as "Candidatus Saccharibacteria bacterium tRNA-Ala". It matches the Rfam family "tRNA". From Rfam's summary of the family: Transfer RNA (tRNA) molecules are approximately 80 nucleotides in length. Their secondary structure includes four short double-helical elements and three loops (D, anti-codon, and T loops). Lineage: Bacteria; Candidatus Saccharimonadota. The record is from RNAcentral. RNAcentral also lists the same sequence under 1 other name.
GGGGUAUUAGCUCAUUUGGUAGAGCGCUUCGCUGGCAGCGAAGAGGUGGCCGGUUCAAAUCCGGCAUACUCCACCA